AGGGUUUGAUCAUGGCUCAGAACGUACGCUGGCGGCACGCCUAAUACAUGCAAGUCGAACGAAGUAGCAAUACUUAGUGGCAGACGGGUGAGUAACAUGUGGGUAUCUUCCCUUUGGUGAGGAAUAACACGAGGAAACUUGUGCUAAUACCUCAUAAGUCUUUACAGAGAAAGCUUUAUGCGCCAUUGGAUGAGCCCGCACUUGAUUAGUUUGUUGGUGGGGUAAUAGCCUACCAAGACAAUGAUCAAUAGCUGAUUUGAGAGGAUGAUCAGCCACAUUGGGACUGAGACACGGCCCAAACUCCUACGGGAGGCAGCAGUAGGGAAUCUUGCACAAUGGAGGAAACUCUGAUGCAGCGAUGCCGCGUGAGUGAAGAAGGCCUUUGGGUUGUAAAGCUCUUUCGUCGGGGAAGAAAAUGACUGUACCCGAAUAAGAAGGUCCGGCUAACUUCGUGCCAGCAGCCGCGGUAAUACGAAGGGACCUAGCGUAGUUCGGAAUUACUGGGCUUAAAGAGUUCGUAGGUGGUUAAAAAAGUUGGUGGUGAAAUCCCAGAGCUUAACUCUGGAACUGCCAUCAAAACUUUUUAGCUAGAGUAUGAUAGAGGAAAGCAGAAUUUCUAGUGUAGAGGUGAAAUUCGUAGAUAUUAGAAAGA
This 652-nucleotide ribosomal RNA is filed under the name uncultured bacterium. RNAcentral describes it as "bacterial SSU rRNA". It matches the Rfam family "Bacterial small subunit ribosomal RNA", at positions 8 to 705 of the family's 1533-position model. The record is from RNAcentral.